This 151-nucleotide non-coding RNA is filed under the name pig gut metagenome. The record is from RNAcentral.
GAACCUUAGAAGUUCUUGAUGUUCCCGAACAUAGCAGCCAUGUUUGAACACGAUGUUCAAACAAGCCGCCACUGAGCCAUGGAUGGCGAAUUGGCGGCGGUGGCGGAUGGUAGAGAUAUGUGAAUUGGAACAUUUAGAACUUCUUAGGUUC